GUAAGUAUAGUUUAACCAAAACGUUAGAUUGUGAUUCUAAAGACAGGAGUUAAAGCCUCCUUACUAACC
This 69-nucleotide transfer RNA is filed under the name Oreoleuciscus potanini (Altai osman). Its description in RNAcentral is "tRNA-His". It matches the Rfam family "tRNA". From Rfam's summary of the family: Transfer RNA (tRNA) molecules are approximately 80 nucleotides in length. Their secondary structure includes four short double-helical elements and three loops (D, anti-codon, and T loops). Further hydrogen bonds mediate the characteristic L-shaped molecular structure. tRNAs have two regions of fundamental functional importance: the anti-codon, which is responsible for specific mRNA codon recognition, and the 3' end, to which the tRNAs corresponding amino acid is attached (by aminoacyl-tRNA synthetases). tRNAs cope with the degeneracy of the genetic code in two manners: having more than one tRNA (with a specific anti-codon) for a particular amino acid; and 'wobble' base-pairing, i.e. permitting non-standard base-pairing at the 3rd anti-codon position. Lineage: Eukaryota; Metazoa; Chordata; Actinopteri; Cypriniformes; Leuciscidae. The record is from RNAcentral.